CCUACGGGUGGCAGCAGUGGGGGAUAUUGCACAAUGGGGGAAACCCUGAUGCAGCGACGCCGCGUGUGGGAAGACGGUCCUCUGGAUUGUAAACCACUGUCCCCAGGGACGAAGAUGACGGUACCUGGGGAGGAAGCUCCGGCUAACUACGUGCCAGCAGCAUCGGUAAUACGUAGGGAGCGAGCGUUGUCCGGAAUUACUGGGGGAAAGGGGAGCGUAGGCGGGACUGCAAGUUGGGUGUCAAAUCUACCGGCUCAACCGGUAGCCGCACUCAAAACUGCAGUUCUUGAGUGAAGUAGAGGCAGGCAGAAUUCCUGGUGUAGCGGUGAAAGGCGUAGAUAUUAGGAGGAACACCAGUGGCGAAGGCGGCCUGCUGGGCUUUUACUGACGCUGAGGCUCGAAAGUGUGGGGAGCAAACAGGAUUAGAUACCCCAGUAGUC
This 440-nucleotide ribosomal RNA is filed under the name uncultured bacterium. RNAcentral describes it as "partial 16S ribosomal RNA". It matches the Rfam family "Bacterial small subunit ribosomal RNA", at positions 338 to 795 of the family's 1533-position model. The record is from RNAcentral.